This 473-nucleotide ribosomal RNA is filed under the name uncultured bacterium. RNAcentral's name for it is "bacterial SSU rRNA". It matches the Rfam family "Bacterial small subunit ribosomal RNA", at positions 28 to 484 of the family's 1533-position model. The record is from RNAcentral.
GAUGAACGCUAGCGGCAGGCUUAAUACAUGCAAGUUGAGGGGCAGCAUGAUAUACGCGAGUAUAUUGAUGGCGACCGGCGGACGGGUGAGUAAUAGGUAGGUAACCUACCUCAUACUGAGGCAUAGCUGGGAGAAAUUCCAGGUAAUUCCUCAUGAGGUUAUAUGACACAUGUGAUAUAAUCAAAGGUAUCGCAAGGUACUGGUAUGAGAUGGGCUUACUGACCAUUAGCUAGUUGGUGAGAUAAGAGCUCACCAAGGCGAAGAUGGUUAGGGGUUUUGAGAGAGAGAUCCCCCACAUUGGAACUGAGAUACGGUCCAGACUCCUACGGGAGGCAGCAGUAGGGAAUAUUGGGCAAUGGGCGGAAGCCUGACCCAGCCAUGCCGCGUGAAGGAAGACGGCCUUAUGGGUUGUAAACUUCUUUACUAUGCGACUAACUAGAUUUACGAGAUAAUUCUAUAGAAUGUAGCAUAGA